CCUUCGAUAGCUCAGUUGGUAGAGC
This 25-nucleotide non-coding RNA is filed under the name Bombyx mori (domestic silkworm). RNAcentral also lists the same sequence under 9 other names. The record is from RNAcentral. Lineage: Eukaryota; Metazoa; Arthropoda; Insecta; Lepidoptera; Bombycidae.